This 469-nucleotide ribosomal RNA is filed under the name Rahnella sp. 01WB02.2-6. RNAcentral describes it as "bacterial SSU rRNA". It matches the Rfam family "Bacterial small subunit ribosomal RNA", at positions 1 to 472 of the family's 1533-position model. Lineage: Bacteria; Pseudomonadati; Pseudomonadota; Gammaproteobacteria; Enterobacterales; Yersiniaceae. The record is from RNAcentral.
UAGAGUUUGAUCAUGGCUCAGAUUGAACGCUGGCGGCAGGCCUAACACAUGCAAGUCGAGCGGCAGCGGGAAGUAGCUUGCUACUUUGCCGGCGAGCGGCGGACGGGUGAGUAAUGUCUGGGAAACUGCCUGAUGGAGGGGGAUAACUACUGGAAACGGUAGCUAAUACCGCAUGACCUCGCAAGAGCAAAGUGGGGGACCUUCGGGCCUCACGCCAUCGGAUGUGCCCAGAUGGGAUUAGCUAGUAGGUGAGGUAAUGGCUCACCUAGGCGACGAUCCCUAGCUGGUCUGAGAGGAUGACCAGCCACACUGGAACUGAGACACGGUCCAGACUCCUACGGGAGGCAGCAGUGGGGAAUAUUGCACAAUGGGCGCAAGCCUGAUGCAGCCAUGCCGCGUGUGUGAAGAAGGCCUUAGGGUUGUAAAGCACUUUCAGCGAGGAGGAAGGGUUCAGUGUUAAUAGCACUGU